This 242-nucleotide long non-coding RNA is filed under the name Homo sapiens (human). Its description in RNAcentral is "HSALNT0294362". The record is from RNAcentral. Lineage: Eukaryota; Metazoa; Chordata; Mammalia; Primates; Hominidae.
CUCAGCCAACUGUAGAAGAACAACCCUUCAGAGCUCCUGAGAGUUGGUCGUCUUCAUACAGCUACUCUGGAUUUAGGUGGAUUAAAACUCCAAUCAAGUACUUUGCAGUGUGUAGUGCAAAAAGUCGUGGGUGAACGGAUUUUAAAAAAUUUUCAUUUUGUCUACAAUUAAUUAUGACUUUUAUUUACAAAUUUAUUAUUUUGCACUUCAAGAAAAUCAUUUAAGAAUUUUAAUGUUUUGUA